RNAcentral lists this ribosomal RNA (549 nucleotides) under uncultured Glomeromycotina. RNAcentral describes it as "SSU rRNA". It matches the Rfam family "Eukaryotic small subunit ribosomal RNA", at positions 548 to 1098 of the family's 1831-position model. The record is from RNAcentral. Lineage: Eukaryota; Fungi; Glomeromycota.
UUGGAGGGCAAGUCUGGUGCCAGCAGCCGCGGUAAUUCCAGCUCCAAUAGCGUAUAUUAAAGUUGUUGCAGUUAAAAAGCUCGUAGUUGAAUUUCGGGGUUAGUAGGUUGGUCAUGCCUCUGGUAUGUACUGGUCUCACUGAUUCCUCCUUCCUGAUGAGCCGUAAUGCCAUUAAUUUGGUGUUGCGGGGAAUUUGGACUGUUACUUUGAAAAAAUUAGAGUGUUUAAAGCAAGCUAACGCUUGAAUACAUUAGCAUGGAAUAAUGAAAUAGGACGUUCGAUCCUAUUUUGUUGGUUUCUAGGAUUGGCGUAAUGAUUAAUAGGGAUAGUUGGGGGCAUUAGUAUUCAAUUGUCAGAGGUGAAAUUCUUGGAUUUAUUGAAGACUAACUACUGCGAAAGCAUUUGCCAAGGAUGUUUUCAUUAAUCAAGAACGAAAGUUAGGGGAUCGAAGACGAUCAGAUACCGUCGUAGUCUUAACCAUAAACUAUGCCGACUAGGGAUCGGAUGAUGUUAAUUUUUUAAUGACUCAUUCGGCGCCUUACGGGAAAC